Long non-coding RNA from Ictalurus punctatus (channel catfish), 527 nucleotides. RefSeq lists it as uncharacterized. The transcript has 3 exons. The record is from RefSeq and is a predicted model, not a curated record. NCBI's taxonomy places the organism in Eukaryota, Metazoa, Chordata, Actinopteri, Siluriformes, Ictaluridae.
AUGAGACGUUGCUGUCACACUGAAAAAGGCGGAGGAAAGCGAGGUGUUUUUUGUUUUGUUUUGCUUUUCAACAAAAUUUGGAGUGUGUACUUUCAAUAUUUUUUCCCGGAACAGAUUCUUAAAGGAGAGAUCUGGAAUAUUGCACAAGUUGCUUGUUCAACAGGAAGUUGCAUCAUACACAUUUCCUGAAGAUAACGGGAAGAAGAAAAUAAUAUUGUCUGACCGGGUCAGUAUGAAAGUACAGUCCUGUAAUCCAAAUUAUACAGUCCCUUCUGAAAGUACUGGAACAGCAAGGGCAGUACUUGGUUUUUGCUCUACACUGAAGACAUUUGGGUUUGAGAUCAAAAGAUGAAUGACACGACAGGGGUUUGUUUAAAAUUUCAGCUUUCUUUCAGUGAUAUUCACAUCAGCUUACAUAUAUUUACAUUUACAUGCCAUUAGCAUUGAUGCUAGUUAACUACUUUGUGUGUAUUUGAUAAAUCUGUCACUUAUUUAAGAGCAAAAUGUCAGCAAAGAACCCUUGCACA